GUAAUACAAUAUUAGGCAGAGACUUCAACAUCCCACUUUCAGCAUUAGAUAGAUCUUCCAGACAGAUAAUCAACAAAGAAGCAUAAGACUUAAUCUGUACUAUGGACUAAAUGGAUCAAAUAGAUAUUUACAAAAAAAUUCAUCCAAUGGUGACAAAAUGCAUCUUUUUCUCCUCAAGAAUAGAUCAUAUGUUAGCUCACAAAGCAAGCCUUAAAACAUUCAGAAAAUUGAAAUAAUAUCAAGCAUCUACUCUGACCACAAUGGAAGGAAACUAGAAACUAAUAACGAGGAAUUUCGGGAACUAUUCAAAUUCAUGGAAAUUGGACAAUCUACUCCUGAAUAACCAGUGGGUCAAUAAAGAAAUUAAGAGGGGAAUUGGAAAGCUUGAAACAAAUGGUAAUGAAAAUGCAACAUACCAAAACCUGAGAUAAAGAAAAAGCACUACCGACAGGGAAGUUUAUAGCUAUUAGUGCCUACAUUAAAAAAAGAGGAAAAACUUCAAAUAAACAAUCUAACAAUACAUUUGAAAGAACUAGAGAAGCAACAGUAAAGCAAACCCAAAACCAGUAGAAGAAAUAAUGAAGAUCAGAGCAGAAAUAAAUGAAAUAGAAAUAAAGGAAGUGAUACAAA
Long non-coding RNA from Sapajus apella (tufted capuchin), 630 nucleotides. RefSeq lists it as uncharacterized. The record is from RefSeq and is a predicted model, not a curated record. Lineage: Eukaryota; Metazoa; Chordata; Mammalia; Primates; Cebidae. The transcript is spliced from 3 exons.